GUUCUCACAGACGAGAUGUUGGAGUCAUCUGCUCUAAAAGUAAAGCUCAUCUGGAGAACUGCAGCUCUUCACAAACUCUCAAAUGCAGCUCCACACAACAGCUGUCAGUAAAGAACACUGGUCGAGGGUCCAUCAGGCUGGUGGGUUCUGGGGGAGACUGUGCAGGGAG
Molecule: long non-coding RNA, 169 nt
Organism: Carassius auratus (goldfish)
Lineage: Eukaryota; Metazoa; Chordata; Actinopteri; Cypriniformes; Cyprinidae
Exons: 3
Source: RefSeq, a predicted model, not a curated record